AUGGUUGUAGCACUCCAGCGUCAAUGCCGCUGGUUCGCCGUCGUCGCAAUUCACCGCCGUGUUCCAACAAAGAAACUCAAAAACCUUAUUGAAGAAUUAGCCGGUUCCAGCAAAAAAAUAACAUCGGUUCCAGCAAAAAGUUCACAGAAACAAAAACACCAGUACUCAAUGGUAGCAAAAACACUAGUCAGUCCAGCAAAAAAGAAGAGUGGUUCCAGCACCUCACAACGUGGUGGUAGCAAACUCCUCGCAGCCGGCCGAAGAACUGGCGCCGCCGAACGCAACAAGCCAUGGCCGCGGCACAAAACGUUUGCCGGUUCCAGCAAAAAUAUUCCCUAG
This 339-nucleotide ribosomal RNA is filed under the name Triticum aestivum (bread wheat). RNAcentral describes it as "partial small subunit ribosomal RNA". The record is from RNAcentral. Lineage: Eukaryota; Viridiplantae; Streptophyta; Magnoliopsida; Poales; Poaceae.